Molecule: ribosomal RNA, 375 nt
Filed under: uncultured bacterium
Lineage: Bacteria
Description: bacterial SSU rRNA
Rfam family: Bacterial small subunit ribosomal RNA
Source: RNAcentral
UACGGAGGGUGCAAGCGUUAAUCGGAAUUACUGGGCGUAAAGCGCACGCAGGCGGUCUGUCAAGUCGGAUGUGAAAUCCCCGGGCUCAACCUGGGAACUGCAUCCGAAACUGGCAGGCUAGAGUCUUGUAGAGGGGGGUAGAAUUCCAGGUGUAGCGGUGAAAUGCGUAGAGAUCUGGAGGAAUACCGGUGGCGAAGGCGGCCCCCUGGACAAAGACUGACGCUCAGGUGCGAAAGCGUGGGGAGCAAACAGGAUUAGAUACCCUGGUAGUCCACGCCGUAAACGAUGUCGACUUGGAGGUUGUGCCCUUGAGGCGUGGCUUCCGGAGCUAACGCGUUAAGUCGACCGCCUGGGGAGUACGAUGGCAACAUUGAA